This 1613-nucleotide ribosomal RNA is filed under the name Pomatomus saltator. RNAcentral describes it as "partial 16S ribosomal RNA". It matches the Rfam family "Bacterial large subunit ribosomal RNA". The record is from RNAcentral. Lineage: Eukaryota; Metazoa; Chordata; Actinopteri; Scombriformes; Pomatomidae.
CGCCAACAAGCUAGCCCACCCCCACAAAAACAACAAUUCAACAUUAAUAACCCCACAUACACACCUCCCCCACUUAAAUAAAUCAUUCUCCCCCCUCAGUAUGGGCGACAGAAAAGGACCUAUUGGAGCGAUAGAAAAAGUACCGUAAGGGAAAGCUGAAAGAGAAAUGAAAUAACCCAGUGAAGCCUAAAAAAGCAGAGAUUUUACCUCGUACCUUUUGCAUCAUGAUUUAGCUAGUAUUACCCAAGCAAAGAGCACUUUAGUUUGGGACCCCGAAACUACGUGAGCUACUCCAAGACAGCCUAUCAAUAGGGCAAACCCGUCUCUGUGGCAAAAGAGUGGGAAGAGCUUUGAGUAGAGGUGACAGACCUACCGAACCUAGUUAUAGCUGGUUGCCUGAGAGAUGGAUAGGAGUUCAGCCUUUGGGCUUCUCUCUUCACUACAAUUUAUUCUUAUUACUGAGAUUCAAAGAAGCCCAUGGAGUUAGUCAAAGGGGGAACAGCCCCUUUGAGACAAGAUACAACUUUUCCAGGAGGGUAAAGAUCAUAAUAACUAAAGGCAACAAUGCCCUGGUGGGCCUAAAAGCAGCCACCCUUACAGAAAGCGUUACAGCUCAAGCAUUAUACCUUAACCCAUAUAUUUAGAUAAACAAAUCCCAACCCCCUAACAUUAUCAGGCCGUCUCAUGCAAACAUGAGAGUGCACAUGCUAAUAUGAGUAAUAAGAGAGCACCUGCCUCUCUCCUUGCACACGUGUAAUUCGGAACGAACCCCCACCGAGACUUAACGGUCCCAAACAAAGAGGGUAAUGAACAACAAAUUACCAACCAGAAAACCACCCAACAAAACAACCGUUAAUCCCACACUGGUGUGCCCCUAAGGAAAGACUAAAAGAAUAAGAAGGAACUCGGCAAACACCAAGCCUCGCCUGUUUACCAAAAACAUCGCCUCUUGCAAAAUAAAAGUAUAAGAGGUCCAACCUGCCCAGUGACUAUAGGUUCAACGGCCGCGGUAUUUUAACCGUGCAAAGGUAGCGUAAUCACUUGUCUCUUAAAUGGGGACCCGUAUGAAUGGCACAACGAGGGCUUAGCUGUCUCCUUUUUCCGGUCAGUGAAAUUGAUCUCCCCGUGCAGAAGCGGGGAUAGAACCAUAAGACGAGAAGACCCUAUGGAGCUUAAGACACCAAGGCAUAUCAUGUUAAACACCCCAAGAUAAAGGACUGAACUGAGUGAAUUAUGCCCCUAUGUCUUUGGUUGGGGCGACCACGGGAGGAACAAAAAACCCCCACGCGGACUGGGGAUACAAUCAUAUCCUUACAACCAAGAGCUGCACCUCUAAGUAACAGAAAUUUCUGACCAAACAUGAUCCGGCAACGCCGAUCAACGGACCGAGUUACCCUAGGGAUAACAGCGCAAUCCCCUUUUAGAGCCCUUAUCGACAAGGGGGUUUACGACCUCGAUGUUGGAUCAGGACAUCCUAGUGGUGCAACCGCUACUGAGGGUUCGUUUGUUCAACGAUUAAAGUCCUACGUGAUCUGAGUUCAGACCGGAGUAAUCCAGGUCAGUUUCUAUCUAUGACAUGUUCUUUUCUAGUACGAAAGGACCGGAAAGGAGAG